Molecule: transfer RNA, 84 nt
Filed under: Planctomycetota bacterium
Lineage: Bacteria; Pseudomonadati; Planctomycetota
Description: Planctomycetes bacterium (groundwater metagenome) tRNA-Tyr
Source: RNAcentral
GGGGAUGCGACAGCGUGGGAGCUGUGCCGGGCCGUAACCCCGGCGUCGAUGACUAGGCAGGUUCGAUUCCUGACAUCCCCACCA